RNA transcript from Ictalurus furcatus (blue catfish), 2827 nucleotides. It is a transcript of the gene named RNA polymerase I and III subunit C, with no coding region annotated. Lineage: Eukaryota; Metazoa; Chordata; Actinopteri; Siluriformes; Ictaluridae. The record is from RefSeq and is a predicted model, not a curated record. The transcript has 11 exons.
GGAGGAGGUGCAAGAGCAAGAGCAGAGCAAGAGCAGAGCAGAGCAAGAGGAAGAGGAAGAGGAAAACGGGCAAUAUGGCGGUGCCUAUGAGCAACGUGGAUGAGAUCCGUGAUAGAGUGAUUUUGGGCGAAUUUGGCGUAAAAAAUGUUCAUUCUACAAAUUUUCCUGGUAAUUAUCCUGGUUAUGAUGACACAUGGGACCUCGGGAAGUUCAAAAAGAAUUUCAGGCUCGAUGUCGUUCAUAUGGAUGAGAACACGUUGGAGUUUGACAUGGUGGGAAUAGACGCUGCCAUUGCAAAUGCUUUCAGGCGGAUAUUACUAGCUGAGGUCCCAACCAUGGCUGUUGAAAAAGUUUUCAUUUACAACAAUACGUCUAUAAUUCAAGAUGAGAUCCUAGCACAUAGGCUUGGCUUGGUACCGAUCAAAGCUGAUCCUCGUCUUUUUGAGUACAGAAAUACUGGUGAUGAGGAAGGCACAGAAAUUGACACAAUUCAGCUUCAGCUGAAGAUCAAAUGCACAAGAAAUCCCAGGGCAUCUAAAGAUGCCUCUGAUCCCAAAGAAUUAUACCUCAAUCACAUGGUGUAUUCAAGGGACAUGAAGUGGGUACCUAUUGGAAAUCAGGCUGAUGUGUUUGCUGAUGCUAACAUUGGUCCUGUGCAUGGAGACAUACUGUUGGCACAGCUUCGGCCGGGACAAGAGCUGGAUAUAGUUAUGCACUGUGUUAAAGGAAUAGGUAAGGACCAUGCAAAGUUUUCCCCAGUUGCCACCGCAAGUUAUAGGCUACUUCCUGAGAUCACAUUACUGAAGACCAUUGAAGGAGAAAAAGCUGAGAGAUUAAAGCGCUGCUUCUCACCUGGAGUUAUUGAAUUGGAGGAUGUUGAUGGAAAACAGGUGGCUAAGGUGGUCAACAGUCGUCUGGAUACAUGCAGCAGAGAAGUGCUUAGGCAUGAUGACCUAAAGAGUUUGGUUAAACUCGGAAGAGUGCGGGACCAUUUCUUAUUCUCAGUGGAGUCUACUGGAAUUUUACCACCUGAUGUCCUGUUCAGUGAGGCCGUUAAUGUACUCAUCGCAAAGUGCCAGAAAUUUCUGACUGAGCUUGAUUCAGUGAAUGAAAUGGAAUAGAUUGAGGGAUGUUGGACUACAUGUACUGAAGGCAACAUUAACCGGACCUCAACCUUGAAAGCGGAGAAGCCUUUGUUUGUAAUGACCGCUUCAAGACGCUUCCUGUAUGAAGAAAUUAGUCGACCGCAGUAUUCAGGUGUGAUUUUGGCCCAUUCUUCUAAACAUAUUGUCUUUAAAUCUUGUUCAAUUGGAUUCAAGUCAGGUGAUCGACUGGGCCAUUCUAACCCCUUGAUUUUUUUUCUCUGAAACCAAUUGAGAGUUUCUUUUGCUGUAUGCUUUGGAUCGUUGUCCUACUGGAAGGUCCACCCACGUCACAUCAACAUCAUUCUGGUGGUUGGCAGCAAAUUCUUCUCAAGAAUCUCCAGGUAAAGGGCUCCCUUCAUCAUUCCUUCAGUUAUAUGAAUCUGCCAGUACCAUGCGAUGAAAAACAGCCCCACACCAUGAUGCUUCCAACUCCAAACAUCACUUAGGUGGUGUCUGUGCUGGCACUGGAGGAUGAUCAGAUAUAAAUCCUUUCUCCUCCAGAUGGGCUGCAUUGCCAUUGAGGCUAAUUACUGGAGGAGGCUGAAGUCACUACAGCUGCACUGCAUCAUUCUGAGCAUGUUUCUGCCAACAAUCCACCAAGCCAGACACACACACACACACACUGGCUUGUGCACGCACAUGUGCACACGCACACACAGAAGGCAGUUUAAUUUGGGCCAGAACAUUAUCCGUGGUGUCUGGAAGCUGAAAGAGGUGACAGUAAAUUGGGUCACCUUCCUUUGUGCCACGAGCUCGCUCUCAUCAUUAGAGCUCCAUGAAGGAUGUGGAAGCAUGUAGAAUUAAAAUGGGGGAAAUCAUUGAGCACUUUCUUUUCCAUUCUCCUUCUUCUGUCUGACUUCACAGUCUGACUCAUUUGUUUAGGCAAACAUAAAUCCUAUUCAUUAUAUAAUAUAUGGCAAAGAAAUAAAAGUGGCAUUAAUACCUCUGUCAUUAUGCCAUUGAUUACUGAGAUGACUUUGGAAGAUUGGUCAUUUUAGACAUUUGGUAUAUGCCUAUGUAAGGACUGUUGAUAUAGAUAUGUUAUAGUUUGCGUGUGUUAGUUUAGAUUCCGGUUACUUUGUUCCUAUUAAUCCCUGUAAUCUUCCUAUUGUGCUUGGCAGACUCCAGCUAAAGUAAAGUGUAGUGUGUAAUGACCACCGACUGCAUGAGUGAAGCCUCAGGUAUUGUAGAGUCAUUACUGUACUGCACUGUAGUUAUUGCUGACAUAGUGAAAUUGUGUUUGAGUAAGGAAUUUAUCCAGGCAGAAAGUAAAGCUCUAUUAAUAAUUAAAUGAUUAAGACUAGAGUACUGUUAGUAUAAGAGAUUGUUUCAUGCCAAGAACAGGAACCAGGUGUUGACACUGGCAGUCUUUAACUGGGUCAGUAUUCCUCAUUUUAGGUCAUGCAUAUCUACUGAGGGGAAUAGAAACACAAUUUCAUCUGAUUUGGGCAGCAGCUGUCUCUGUUACUGGUUCGGAUAUGACUGCGAGGGCAACAGUGCUCAUUUGUGACAGUUACAUUUCUGCUUGGUGUAUGGAGUGCCUUAAUGAUCAGUGUCUCCUUGGCAUAGGUCACAAGUGGCUGGACUCUACGGCUCAAGGCUGGUUGAAGUUAAUUGAAUGUGAGGCACCCGUCUGCCUGCAUGUAUGCUUUCCUGGCUGCAUGUUUCCAGCGAGUGAGAGA